GGUUCGAUUAUGGCUCAGAUUGAACGCUGGCGGGAUGCUUUAUGCAACGGCGUCGAACGGCGCUGGACUUCGGUCUGGUGGCGAGUGGCGAACGGGUGAGUAAUGUAUCGGAACGUGCCUAGUAGCGGGGGAUAACUACGCGAAAGCGUAGCUAAUGCCGCAUACGCCCUUCGGGGAAAGCGGGGGACCUUCGGGCCUCGCACUAUUAGAGCGGCCGAUAUCGGAUUAGCUAGUUGGUGGGGGUAACGGCUCACCAAGGCGACGAUCCGUAGCUGGUUUGAGAGGACGACCAGCCACACUGGGACUGAGACACGGCCCGAACUCCUACGGGAGGCAGCAGUGGGGAAUUUUGGACAAUGGGGGAAACCCUGAUCCAGCCAUCCGCGUGUGCGAUGAAGGCCUUCGGGUUGUAAAGCACUUUUGGCAGAAAGAAACGGCACGGGAUAAUACCCGAUGCAACUGACGGUACCUGCAGAAUAAGCACCGGCUAACUACGUGCCAGCAGCCGCGAUAAUACGUAAGUGCAAGCGUUAAUCGGAAUUACUGGGCGCUAAAGCGUGCGCGAGCGGUUCAGGAAAGAAGAUGUGAAAUCCCAGGCUUAACUUUGGAACUGCAUUUUUAACUACCGAGCUAGAGUGUGUCAGAGGGAGGUGGAAUUCCGCGUGUAGCAGUGAAAUGCGUAGAUAUGCGGAGGAACACCGAUGGCGAAGGCCUCCUGGGAUAACACUGACGCUCAUGCACGAAAGCGUGGGGAGCAAACAGGAUUAGAUACCCUGGUAGUCCACGCCCUAAACGAUGUCAACUAGCUGUUGGGGCCUUCGGGCCUUGGUAGCGCAGCCUAACGCGUGAAGUUGACCGCCUGGGGGUGAUACGGUCGCAAGAUUAAAACUCAAAGGAAUUGACGGGGACCCGCACAAGCGGUGGAUGAUGUGGAUUAAUUCGAUGCAACACGAAAAACCUUACCUACCCCUUGACAUGUACAGAUCCCAAAGAGUUUAGGAGUGCUCGCAAAGCCAGAACACAGGUGCUGCAUGGCUGUCGUCAGCUCGUGUCGUGAGAUGUUGGGUUAAGUCCCAUAACGAGCGCAACCCUUGUCAUUAGUUGCUACGAAGAAGGGCACUCUGUGAGACUGCCGGUGAUAAACCGGAGGAAGGUGGGGAUGACGUCAAGUCCUCAUGGCCCUUAUGGGUAGGGCUUCACACGUCAUACAAUGGUCGGGACAGAGGGUCGCCAACCCGCGAGGAGCCAAUCCGAAAACCCGAUCGGCGUAGUCCGGAUGUGCCGGUCUGCAACUCGACUGCAUGAAGUCCAGAUCGCUGGUAAUCGCGGAUCAGCAUGUCGCGGUGAAUACGUUCCCGGAGUCAUGGCACACACCGCCCGUCACACCAUGGAAUUGGGUUUUACCGAAGUAGUUAAUAUAACCGUAAGGAGGCGAUUACCACGGUAGGAUUCAUGACUGGGGUGAAGUCAGCAACAAAGGUAG
This 1483-nucleotide ribosomal RNA is filed under the name uncultured Bordetella sp. RNAcentral's name for it is "partial 16S-23S ribosomal RNA intergenic spacer". It matches the Rfam family "Bacterial small subunit ribosomal RNA". Lineage: Bacteria; Pseudomonadati; Pseudomonadota; Betaproteobacteria; Burkholderiales; Alcaligenaceae. The record is from RNAcentral.